GCAAACAUGCAGGUAUUUAAAGAAAUGUUUUGUUUUUCCUUUUUAGCUGUUGAAAUUUCUUGAAUGCAAACACAACACAACACACCAUGCGCACAUGACAGAGGUCUCCGUCACUGCGGAGGGAAGAUCGCAAUGCUGCUUGCAGGCUGUUGACAGAAAGUGAUCAGUUGUCGUGUUCCGCCAGCUGCUGCGCCGGCGUUGGCAGCGCACAGCCGCUACCAGCUGACACGCCGACCGGUGCGCGGCGCGCGUGCGCCGGGCGCCGACGGCCGUCGUCUGGCAGCAACAGCGCUGCCAGUGACUCGCGCUGCUGCUGCAGAAACUGGACAAGGAUCGUAGAAUCCUGGCGUGUUUUUGUAACGUCCAUUAGAGUGAUUUAGACGCAGCGUGUAGAAAGGACUCGUUUAUUGACGUGUGACUUUCUGACAGCUCAGUCACCUGUUGACGGCGGCGCACAGCGUCACCUACCCGCCCUACAGCCGGCCCAGCAGGCGGACGGAGAGGCCCGCCCGGGCCCAGUGCCGCACGGAGAGGCGGCGGCGCUGGAGCCCAACACCCCGGCUCGCGGCCUGUAGCUGACGGUGCUGGAGCCGCGAGUCACCGUGGUGGCUGGCCAUGGAGACUUGGAAAAGGCCGGUGAGGUGCGUCUCCAGCUGCGCUGUCAGACGAUCCAGUGGAACGAGCAGCAGCCCAUGUACCCGUCCCGGCUGUGCCGGUGUGUCUCCCAGCUUGAGCGGCGCCGGCCGACCGCUGCGCUGCUCUACAACUGCCACGUCCACACACGAUGCACGGUGACGGCUGACCAGGCGGUGCUGGUCUCGGCCGCGACCGACGGCCAGCCCGCCCAGGAGCACCAGGCUUUAGAGGCUGAUUAGUGGGCAGAUACAUUCAAUUAGCUAUUAAUAAUUGAUUAUGCAAACAUUC
Molecule: long non-coding RNA, 924 nt
Filed under: Amphibalanus amphitrite
Lineage: Eukaryota; Metazoa; Arthropoda; Thecostraca; Balanomorpha; Balanidae
Description: uncharacterized LOC122370887, transcript variant X4
Source: RNAcentral